This 429-nucleotide ribosomal RNA is filed under the name uncultured bacterium. Its description in RNAcentral is "bacterial SSU rRNA". It matches the Rfam family "Bacterial small subunit ribosomal RNA", at positions 355 to 776 of the family's 1533-position model. The record is from RNAcentral.
UGGGGAAUAUUGGACAAUGGGGGAAACCCUGAUCCAGCCAUGCCGCGUGUGUGAAGAAGGCCUUUUGGUUGUAAAGCACUUUAAGCAGUGAAGAAGACUCUUCGGUUAAUACCCGGAGACGAUGACAUUAGCUGCAGAAUAAGCACCGGCUAACUCUGUGCCAGCAGCCGCGGUAAUACAGAGGGUGCAAGCGUUAAUCGGAAUUACUGGGCGUAAAGGGAGCGUAGGUGGCUCUAUAAGUCAGAUGUGAAAUCCCCGGGCUUAACCUGGGAACUGCAUCUGAAACUGUAGAGCUAGAGUAUGUGAGAGGGAGGUAGAAUUUCAGGUGUAGCGGUGAAAUGCGUAGAGAUCUGAAGGAAUACCGAUGGCGAAGGCAGCCUCCUGGCAUAAUACUGACACUGAGGCUCGAAAGCGUGGGUAGCAAACAGG